Octopus sinensis (East Asian common octopus) is the source of this 93-nucleotide long non-coding RNA. RefSeq lists it as uncharacterized. The transcript has 3 exons. NCBI's taxonomy places the organism in Eukaryota, Metazoa, Mollusca, Cephalopoda, Octopoda, Octopodidae. The record is from RefSeq and is a predicted model, not a curated record.
AACCAAUGCUGGUUGUGAAGUGGUGGUGAACAACCACAACUACAAAGACACACACACACACACACACACACGCACAAAGACACACAGACACAC